This 1131-nucleotide long non-coding RNA is filed under the name Oryctolagus cuniculus (rabbit). RNAcentral's name for it is "lncRNA (ENSOCUG00000032642.1)". The record is from RNAcentral. Lineage: Eukaryota; Metazoa; Chordata; Mammalia; Lagomorpha; Leporidae.
ACCCCCAUCUAGUAACGCAGGGUGUAAUCUCGCUUCUAAACACAGAAUUACAGAGAACGAGGCGGGGGAGGAUGAGUUUCUGCUUCCCCAUGCAGAUCCUUUGGCCGUCACUUACGGUUCCUGGCAGAGCAGAGUGCAUUCCGGAUUCCGGAUUCCGUGCUUGGGCAUUGAGAGCAGAAGCCCCGGAGGAGAGAGGAGCGAGGCUUUUCCUGAGAGGCAGCCCGGACAAAGGUCUCAUUUUGCAUGUGUCUUUCCUCUGUGGGAAAUUCUCCUGCCCGUGAGCUGCCAGAAACGUACAAGGAGAGCGCGUGAAGCUGGCGCCCGCGACCUGGGUGAGCAGAAGCAGAGCCGAGAACCAGCGAGCGAGCGCCGGGAGAAGCCGCAGGCACCUGCUCGCCAGCUCGGCGACACUUGCCUCCCGUGAGUGUCUGCGAUGAAAAGAUCCACAGUCAGUGCUGGCAUCGCUCUUCGCCAGAGGUCCUGAGGGUCCCUCGUGUACGCUUGGGGCUGUGUAGUCUCGCGAGUCAUUUUUCUGAGUUCCUAGCGCCGUGUGGGAGGGUGCAGGCAGUACGGCCAGACUUUGCUUAGAGCAAAGAGCUUUGGAGUUUGGAGCAUCCAGCUCAAUCUCCCACCUGGUAAAUGCCCAAGACCGCAGGUGAAGCAAUGGCGAAGGCGGCAGGCUGUAAGACGAGGCCCCAGACAGGUGCCUCCUCCUGCUGACACUGGGUCAGCCUGCUUGCCUGAUCCUGCCAGAGCUCCCAACAGCACAGAAUCUUCUGGACUCCACCAUAGGGGGGUGGGCGCCAAGGCUCCUCCCCAGCCCCAGGACUGGCCUGGGGGUCUGCUGUCAGCUCCCAGGGCUGCUUUCGCCACACCCCUCUGAAGCCUUCCUGUGUGCACUGGGGGUGGCGGGCUCCCCUCUGCCCCGAGUGGACGGCAGCCAGUCGUUUGGCAAAAGUCAGCUCAGUGGCUGCCAUUGUUCUCAAGGAGGCAGAGCUGAAUGGGCUGCGGGCUAAUGUAUUCCGUCCUGGCUCUGGCGUGGUAGGGGAGGGCCGCAUUCCACUCCUCCCCCAGCCCCCUCCAGCCCAGCACUCUGCUCUCCAGCCCUGGCCCAGCCCCUAGGGGCGCAGC